UACAGAGGGUGCAAGCGUUGUUUGGAAUUAUUGGGCGUAAAGCGCGUGUAGGCGGCUUUGCAAGUCGGGUGUGAAAGCCCUCAGCUCAACUGAGGAAGUGCGCCCGAAACUGCAGAGCUUGAGUGCCGGAGAGGGUGGCGGAAUUCCCCAAGUAGAGGUGAAAUUCGUAGAUAUGGGGAGGAACACCGGUGGCGAAGGCGGCCACCUGGACGGUAACUGACGCUGAGACGCGAAAGCGUGGGUAGCAAACAGG
Molecule: ribosomal RNA, 253 nt
Filed under: uncultured bacterium
Lineage: Bacteria
Description: partial 16S ribosomal RNA
Rfam family: Bacterial small subunit ribosomal RNA
Source: RNAcentral